Acinonyx jubatus (cheetah) is the source of this 816-nucleotide long non-coding RNA. RefSeq lists it as uncharacterized. The transcript is spliced from 3 exons. The record is from RefSeq and is a predicted model, not a curated record. Lineage: Eukaryota; Metazoa; Chordata; Mammalia; Carnivora; Felidae.
CUACACAAUUACCUCUUAAAUAAAAUUCAGUUUCUCAGCCAACCACAAUUCUUACGUUUAAAAAAGCGUGUGUAGAAAAAUGUUAAUGGAGAUGUUAACGAUAAUAAGGAUCUAUCUUUAAUCUGGACUCACGAAGUCUCUUCCUUUAUACUUUAUUUACGAUCUUAGGCACUCAGUGUAACUGGCCCCUUUCCAGGACGCUGCUUCUACGCAAAGCACAUGGAUUUCAUUGUGAAGAAAAUACGGACACUUAAAGCCUUUCUAGGCUCCCUUCCCCCAAGGUAUUUUGCUAAUGUGUACCAGAACAUUCUUGAAAGGAGAAAAAAAGAAAAAAAGAGCGAGAAAGAAAUGCUUUGUGAAGAAAAGGAUCUGCCUGUAGGCAUUUCUAGCACUACUGCCUCCUGUUAAUUUGCAACCUAGUUAAGAGAACCGGAAACAGUUUGUUGUGUGCGGUGCUUUCUGGAACAGCUAACCUUCAUCUGAACACUUAGGACGCUCCAGCCACUGUGCUACGUUCUUCCUGUGGAUAAUGUCGUUUGCUGGGCACAACUACCCGAUAAGGAUGGAAAUUUAGAUGAUUUGUGAAAAAAUAAAAAUAAAACAAUAUCACCUCACGUCCAUCAAGAUGGCUACUACAACAAAAUAGCAAGUGUUGAAGAGGAUGUGGAGAAAUUGGAACUCUGUGCACUGGUGGUGGGAAUGUAAAAUAGUGCAACCGUUAUGGAAAAUGCCAAAAGAAUCCUUCCUAUCUGAUGAUGCUGUUCCUGUUUAACCUGAGGAGUCCUCAAUGAUCUCACAUGGAAUGGUUUUACAAGG